Molecule: long non-coding RNA, 3540 nt
Organism: Bradysia coprophila
Lineage: Eukaryota; Metazoa; Arthropoda; Insecta; Diptera; Sciaridae
Source: RefSeq, a predicted model, not a curated record
CUGUAAAAAUUUGGGCACUAUCAGUUUUUAGACUUGGAAGAUUGGUUUCUUCGGCAAGGUCUUAGAGUUUUGGGAAUCGAAUAGGUGAGUGUGCGCAAAAAGUGGAAAAAUUUGGGCACUAUCAGAUUUUAGACUUAUCUCGGGAGUUGUGGCAGAUGGAAGAUUGGUUUCUUCGGCAAAGUCUUAGAGUUUUGGGAGUAGAAUAGGCCGGAAAAGUAAAAAAGUCGGGAAGUUAGAAUCGGGUGUUUCAAUUAGGUUUUUGGAAUUAUCUCUGGAACUAUGGGAGAUGGAAUAUUGGUUUCUUCGGCAAAGUCUUAGAGUUUUGAGAGUAGAAGACGGCGGCAUUAAUGAAAAAGUCGGGAAUUGGGAAUUAGCUGUUUCAAUUAUGUGUUUGACGGAAUUAUGUGUUUGGCGGGAUUAGGUGUUUCACGGGAUUAGGUGUUUCAUGGUAUUAUGUGUUUGACGGGAUUAGGUGUUUCACGGGAUUAGGUGUUUCAUGGUAUUAUGUGUUUGACAGGAUUAAGUGUUUGACGGGAUCAUGUGUUUGACUGGAUUAGGUGUUUCAAUUAUUUACAUGUUUGACGAGAUUAGAUGUUUCACGGGAUACGGGAUUAGGUGUUUGACGCGAUUGGGUGUUUAACGGGAUUAGGAGUUUCACGGGAUUAGGUGUUUGACGGCAUUAGGUGUUUGACGGGAUUAGGUGUUUGACGGGAUUAGGUGUUUGACGGGAUUAGGUGUUUGACGGGAUUAGGUGUUUGACGGGAUUAGGUGUUUGACGGGAUUAGGCGUUUGACGGGAUUAGGUGUUUGACGGGAUUAGGUGUUUGACGGGAUUAGGUGUUUUUCGGGGUAGCUUGCUAGGCGGCGAUGUGGCGCGUAGCGCCACGGGAGUCGACUAGUCGGAAUAUAUCUCCGCGUAUAACGGAAUAUCACGUUCAGGCGGAGCUCAGAUUUUUCAUUCAGUUCCAAAAACUGAACGAUUUGAUCACAUUGAUGAGUUUUGACAUGUUCUCAUUCAAUAGGUUUGUAAACAAAAUUCCAAAACUGGCCGAACGCACACGAUUUCAUACAAAUAUUGAUCAGGUUGUGGAUGAAAUUUUUUAGAAAUUUGACAAUUCGUUAUCAGAGAGAUAUGAACGAAAACAACGAAACAGCCAGAUGAAACCAACGCAUAAAAGUAUGUAGCCUUAAUUUUGAAUCUUACUGUAAAGAAUUCAGGAAAAAUUUGGAAAUUGAAGGGAACCAAAAAAUAAUCCACUCGCAAUUAGAGGUUUAGUUAGAGACAGUGAAAUUUCAGACUGAAUUUGCUUCAAAUGCUUUUCAGCUGGUCCACACAAACUGUUUACACGUCUUUAUACGGUUUUACCACUACCACGCGCGUGGGUGAAGAAGCUUCAACCGUAAAAACAAGUACAGACAGUUUUGCUUUUGUGUGUGGAUCAUAUGAUAAACAGCUGAGUCAAAUUCAUGCUGAAGUUUCACUGCCUCUGACUGUAUUGCGAAAGUGAAAAUUUACAAGCGUUACUUUUCGCUGCGAAAGUAGUUUCCAGUGUGUAUACUUACGAUGUGAAUUAGGUAAAUACUAACCAAGUACUUGUCACAUCUAUAUACUUAAAGGCAUUUCAAAUUUUUUUUUUAAAUAUAUUUUUAUCUUUUUAAAGUCAAAACUGUGUUCAAAAAUAGAAAAAUUCAAAAUCUAAAAUUGUAAGGAAAUUUUUGUAAGAGAUAUUUAAUCCGACUCCAGUAAGAGAAACUAAUUUUUAUUUUAGAAAAACUUUCAAAAAUCAACACACCAAUUUCUUAAGAAGUAGAAAUUUAUGUAAAAAUCUUCAAAUUGAAGACUUCAAUCCAAUUAAAAUUUCUAGCAUCUUUGUCUGUUUGUUCAGUUUUGUGUUUUUCGCAUUCACGCUUAUCAUCGAACACAGAUAGGGUUCGUGUACACCUUUAGUCAAAUGUAAUUAUAAUUUUCAGUGCUGUGUAUCGGGAAUCAAUUAUCUCUUUCCACCCUGUACUAUCACCCUUUCACCUUUUUUUGGAAAUAUGUUGGGAGUUGGGUUCUGACUUUCAAAUAAGGAAUGUAUUUUGUUUCAGCUGUUUUUCAGCUGAUCCACUCAUACAAACAAAUGUGCUAAUACUGGAACAAUGUACAGUACACGCAUGCACGCGGCAAUGGUAAAACCGUUUUAAGCCGUAACAUCAUAUUUUAGUUUGUAUGAGUGGAACAGCUGAAAGAAAUACGUCACCUAUUUCGAAGUCACCUGUAAGAUUAAAAAAUUAUUUAGAUGGAUUUCGAUUUUACCUUCUGAAUUAUAGGUGAAACUUUCAAUGCCAUUAAUCAGUCACAGAUUUUUAUAGCAUUGAUUACACAAAAUCGUUUUAUCGAUUGAAUUAGUCAUUUGAAAAAUAUGAAUGUUGAGCCACUGAAAGAAGAUCAGAGAUUUCCUUUCGAGAUUGAAUGCUGUGGCCGAAGGUGAACAACAACAACACAAUUUAGGAAUGGGAAAUGCAAUUCACUGUGUAUACAAUGCAGUCAGGAAAAUUUAAAUUUCGAAGUGUUUAAUUUCCGUAUUUAAUUCGAAUACAACGAUAUUUCAGUUCAAGUAAUCAUUAAACCAAAACAGUUCGUUAUUUAUCGGAAUAGCCUUUUCCACACGUAUUGUCCAUCCGUUUCAUAUGGUCAUCAAACUCAAUCGACCCAAUAUUUCCGAUACACACUGAAAGUUUCACCUUUUUUUUGCACAAAUAGGUAUUUUCCUAACAGGUUCUAUUAUGGAAAUCUUGCACAAAGAUGUGGAAAUUGUUAACCGGAGGCGAGGUCAACGUUGACACAAAAUUUCAGUGAACAUACAAUUUAGGACUAAAGUUUUUAUGUACAGCAGUGAGAUCCUCAUAUUUCAGAAAUGUCACUUUUACGCACUAGUGUGUAAAUAAGCAAAGACGCACUACUUCUACUUCGCACUGUUGUACAUAAACAAUUUUUCGCAUUCAUGUGUAAAUUUUAACACAAAGAAAAUCUUUAAUGUGCUGUCUCAUCCUAAAUUAAAACAUUUAAAGUCGCAUUUAUAUAAAAAAAGUAAAAAUUGCUUUCUGUGUUUUAGUUAAAAAAUAAAAUUUAAAGAGAAAAAGAAAUGUAUUCAAGCCUGAAAAGAAAAUAUAAAUAGAAAAUCCAACAUCUACAAAUUUUGAGAACCAAUUUAAAAAUCAUAGAAAAAAAUAUUUGUAGAUCAAGAGGUUCGUUCCAUGUGUUCAUUGUGAGGACAUUGAAUCAGCCUCGUCUUCUAGAUUUUUUUACUGUACAUUUGUUUAAAAUGUUUAAAUGAAGUAAGAUUAAGACGUAACAAAAAAGAUAAAAAAAAGAAUUAAAAUCAACAAAAGGAUCCGCCUUGUGUUUCUGAAUUCUCAAAGCGAAGAUAUUCGAGCAAGUGGAACCGAAAUAUUAUAAAAUUUAAACAAACUAAAAACAAGAACUCUAAAAUGUUAAAUUUAAAUGGAUGAAAUUCAAUGAUUGAUUGAGUGAAUAAAUUUAUAUUGUCUGUAAUAA